Molecule: ribosomal RNA, 211 nt
Filed under: uncultured bacterium
Lineage: Bacteria
Description: partial 16S ribosomal RNA
Rfam family: Bacterial small subunit ribosomal RNA
Source: RNAcentral
UACGAGAGGCCCAAACGUUAUUCGGAUUUACUGGGCUUAAAGAGUUCGUAGGCGGCGCAGAAAGUAGGGUGUGAAAGCCCUCGGCUCAACCGAGGAAUUGCGCCCUAAACUACUGUGCUUGAGGAAGCUAGAGGUGAGCAGAACAGAUGGUGGAGCGGUGAAAUGCGUUGAUAUCAUCUGGAAUACCGGAGGCGAAGGCGGCUCACUGGGG